This 669-nucleotide long non-coding RNA is filed under the name Ananas comosus (pineapple). RNAcentral describes it as "long non-coding RNA (ACOM_LNC020252)". The record is from RNAcentral. Lineage: Eukaryota; Viridiplantae; Streptophyta; Magnoliopsida; Poales; Bromeliaceae.
UUUGGGGAAAGAAUUGUCAUUUUUAUAAGGGAUUUCACACUUUUUCAUUUUAGUACCAAGUGGUUUAAAGUGUACCAAGUUAGUACCCUGUGGUUUUGCACUUUCUCACUUUAGUACCUUGUGGUUUAAAGUGUAUCAAGUUAGUACUCUGUGGUUUUAUUUCUGUAUCAAGUUAGUACCAUGUGGUUUUAUUUUUGUACCAAGCUAGUAUCCUGUGGUUUUAUUUUUCUCUUAAUGAAAUAUUAAACCACUUAGUACUAAAGUGAGAAAGUGCAAAUAAUUUGAUACACUUUAAAUCACAAGGUAUUAAAGUGAGAAAGUGCGAAACCACAGAAUACUAACUUAAUACACUUUAAACCACAGGGUACUAAAGUGAGAAAGAGUGAGACCAUAAGGGGGGUAUUUGAAGUUUUUCCUUUUUAUAAAUUAGUAAUUAGUCUUAUAAAAUAUUUCUAUUUAAUGUAUUAUAUAAUAACUUAUUUACUAAUUUACUACUUAAUUAAUCGGUUAACUUAUUAAAUUAAUAAAUAUUUAAUUAACUAGUUGAGCAAUUAUUUUCAAUGCAUAAUCAACUAGCUAAAUUAAAUAAUUAAUGUUUUUAGUAAUCUAUGAUUAGAUAAUUAAAUACUUAAUAAAGUAAAAUAUUAAAUUAUUUUUAUAGUUAAUUAA